UCAGGUGAGUGAAAAUAUCUUGGAAUAUGACGGACAAAUUUUGGGAUAUGAAAACUCUCUACUUCACACUUUUCAAACCCCAAGAUCCUAAAAUCUCAGUCACCGCCGUCCAACUCCCAUCCUUCUCCCUCACAAACAACGCCACCACAGUUAAUUUAACCUUCUCCCAAUACGCCUCCGUAAGAAACCCUAACAGAGGAACAUUCUCACACUACGAUAGCUCCUUUCAGCUUCUCUACUAUGGAAGACAAAUCAGUUUCAUAUUUGUCCCUGCCGGGAAGAUCAAUGCAAGGAGUACGGAAUACAUGGUUGCCACGUUUAGUAUUCAGUCUCUUCCGGUGGGGUUGGAGGGGAAUGGUACUGAUGGAGUUAGUAGAGUUGGGCCGAUGAUGGAGAUUGAGUCGACAAUAGAGAUGGCGGGGAGAGUGAGAGUGUUGAAUAUGUUCAGUCAUCAUGUGGAGGCGAAAACUGAAUGCAGAGUCGCCAUUGCCGUUGCCGAUGGAACCGUCAUAGAGUUUGAAAGGAAGGGGUGAAUCACUUGACACAACGGGAGGAAAUUCAUCACCAACUUCGUAUGCCUUAAAGUCACAUACUUACCAACAAUCUUCAAAUCCCCCUGAAAGAUACCCAGUUCCAGAAGCAGGGUUACAUGCUCUUGCUCUGGAUGACUCAAAAGCUUUCUUUACUGACCACCAACCUGUUUCUGUUAAAGAGAAGAAAGAGCAUCUUGUGGUUGCUCGAAACAGUCUUGAAGUUCUCUCUAGCAUAUUAAAUUCUGAGGCAGAGCCAAAACCUUUAAAGGAAGAAUUAACUUUAAGUCUGCUGGAUAAGUGCAACAAUCACUUUAUGUUAUCAAGGAGAUUUUGCAAAGCACAACAAAUGAUGAAGAAACACUUUUUGAGGCUUUAUAUCUCAAUGAUGAGCUGGAGCAGUUAGUUUCUAAGUAUGAGGAGUUGGAAGCUUCUCAAAAUUUAGGGGAACAACAAACACAAAAUGUUGACACUGCCAAGAAUGAUGCAGAAGCUGUUCAAAACCUCAAUGAAAGACUGGAGGUGAUGAUUCUGAAGAACCGUCAAGCAUAAUAGGGAAAGAGUUACUCAAAAUAUUACAAACUAAAUUUUUAAUGAAAUAAAUGGAUACCCCCCUUCAAAACUCCCAAGAUAAAUUUUUACGAUAAAGUUGUUUGUAUUGUUAAAGCUCAGUCAACCUUUUGUUUUGAAACCUUGGUACUACGAGAAGAAUUAUUCCCGAUGGAACUACUCUUAGUCCAUUGACCUUGUAUUGUUAAAG
Vicia villosa (hairy vetch) is the source of this 1290-nucleotide long non-coding RNA. RefSeq lists it as uncharacterized. NCBI's taxonomy places the organism in Eukaryota, Viridiplantae, Streptophyta, Magnoliopsida, Fabales, Fabaceae. The record is from RefSeq and is a predicted model, not a curated record. The transcript is spliced from 3 exons.